Molecule: long non-coding RNA, 1120 nt
Organism: Heterocephalus glaber (naked mole-rat)
Lineage: Eukaryota; Metazoa; Chordata; Mammalia; Rodentia; Bathyergidae
Source: RefSeq, a predicted model, not a curated record
GCAAAACUUUUUGUAACUAACAUUCUACUUGCUGUCUGCCAGGAAAACCCAGCCCAGAAGCUGUACACUACCAUGGAGAUGAGGGCAGUGCUCUCUUCAGAGGACAGGAAAACAAAGGCAGAUGAGAAAAUGAACAGAAUUAGCCCGAGGGACCAAGGAGAAGAUGUACCACUGUGGUGCUGGGGCCUUGCCUGGGGCUUCUGCAGCAUGGGUUAAUCGUGGCUCUCCAAGGCUGGCUUACAGAUGGAAAGUUUCCACUAAUCAAUGGCAAAGUGAAGAAAAUGGAACAAAGCAUCAUUUGGUAGUGUACACCACAUCAACAGGCUACAAUAAUUGUGGAACUAAUUUAAUCCUCACACAGUGAGUUGAUAAUCUUCUUUGGUUCCUACAAGGAAAGAAAACACCAUGAACUGGAAAAAGCUUUCUGUGGAAGUGAUGGGAAGUUUGUGGACUUUGCUGCCAGGUGAAUCUGGAUUUAAUCCCUGUUCUGCUGCAUAUGGAUUUAAUGGCUACAGAGUUUUCUUUACUUCGUUGAGCCCUAGUGUUUCCUGCCUAUUCAGGUAACACUAAAAUUGUUAGCAAGGAGGAGACAAUGAUUGCUACUUUCCCUGCAUAAAAUAAGUGCUCAAUAAAUGAUACUAACCAUCCUUUCUCCCCUCUUCUCUGCUCCUUCCCCUCAAAAACAAUUUCAUCUUCCCUCAUCUAGGGAAGGGUUUCUUAGCUAGGACCAACUCUGCCCCUUAGGGAUGCUUACUUUGUACUACCUGGAGAAAUUUCUGCGUGUCACAAGUAAAGGCUGCUACUGUCAUGAAGUAGGUAGAGGCCAGGAUGCUACAAAACAUCUCACAAUAAACAAACAGUGCCAAAUUACAAACAGUGCUGAAGCUGAAAAACCCUCAUCUAGGGUAAGGAUACCAGCCUUCCUGAUCGAGGGAGACUGAGACAAAGGUUAGGGGCCAUCAGAAAACAAUCUCCCGCAGAAGCUCUGGGGAAGCAGAACCUGCACAAUCCCAGAGGACAGAAGGCAGAGAUGCAGUUCCUGGUUCUGCCUCUUUGGAGCAGUCACUUAACUUUCCUGAUCCUCCAGCUUCUAACCUGGAAGCUAGAUGCCAAGCAUGGU